This is a long non-coding RNA of Suricata suricatta (meerkat), 683 nucleotides long. RefSeq lists it as uncharacterized. The transcript has 6 exons. Lineage: Eukaryota; Metazoa; Chordata; Mammalia; Carnivora; Herpestidae. The record is from RefSeq and is a predicted model, not a curated record.
UGGGAAUAGGGAACCCCUGCCUGCAAGAAAGAUCAGGGCGUUGUAGUAUGAGAAGGGAGGUGGGAGACGGAGCUCAGGUUGUGCCCAUAAAGGGAAAGAAUCAUGUUCUUCCCACUCUGUUCUCUGUGAUCCCAUUGGAUGAAAUGUGGUCAUACUGACAAGCCGUCUUGGAUCAGGCCUCUUGGAGAACAGUGAGUGGUCCAUCCUGGCUUUUAAGGAAUGAAGAAGAACAAGAGAAGAGAAGAUUAGAAACAGAGAGGAGAGAGCCUUGAUCAGACAUUGCGAAAAUAAAUACAGAUGCCUACGCCUUAAUGUGACCAUGUAUGUACCUUCAGGAAACCCAUCAGUUUUGGGGCCUCAGUUUCUACUUCUGCAAAAUGUAGCUGAAGGAGAUAAUGGCGAAGCUCUCAGAGUUUGUCUGCUUUGUCUGCAUUUGAACCACUGAGGUGACCAACGAAAAAAGAACAAAAAAUACUCCUAGGGGCAGUGACUCUUUGAAUUGACAGGACCAGUUUUCAGAUAGUGCUUCGAUGAUCACCCCGAGGCAUUGAAGAGAUCCUGGGGAUACAGUGCGGGAAGGCCUCCUGGACCCCACCCUGGAUUUAGUCAACCACAGUUGUUCUACUUUGAUCUCUUUUAUAUACCGGCACACCUCAUUUCAUGGUGCUUUGCUUUACUGUGCU